GUCCACGCCUAACGAUGUCAACUGGUUGUUGGGUCUUCACUGACUCAGUAACGAAGCUAACGCGUGAAGUUGACCGCCUGGGAGUACGGCCGCAAGGUUGAAACUCAAAGGAAUUGACGGGACCCGCACAAGCGGUGGAUGAUGUGGUUUAAUUCGAUGCAACGCGAAAACCUUACCUACCCUUGACAUGUCUGGAAUCUUUUAGAGAUAGAAGAGUGCCCGAAAGGGAGCCAGAACACAGGUGCUGCAUGGCUGUCGU
Molecule: ribosomal RNA, 259 nt
Filed under: uncultured bacterium
Lineage: Bacteria
Description: partial 16S ribosomal RNA
Rfam family: Bacterial small subunit ribosomal RNA
Source: RNAcentral